UACGUAGGGGGCAAGCGUUGUCCGGAAUUAUUGGGCGUAAAGAGCUCGUAGGCGGUUCGUCGCGUCGGCUGUGAAAACCCGGAGCUCAACUCCGGGCCUGCAGUCGAUACGGGCGGACUAGAGUUCGGCAGGGGAGACUGGAAUUCCUGGUGUAGCGGUGAAAUGCGCAGAUAUCAGGAGGAACACCGGUGGCGAAGGCGGGUCUCUGGGCCGAUACUGACGCUGAGGAGCGAAAGCGUGGGGAGCGAACAGG
This 253-nucleotide ribosomal RNA is filed under the name uncultured bacterium. RNAcentral describes it as "partial 16S ribosomal RNA". It matches the Rfam family "Bacterial small subunit ribosomal RNA", at positions 524 to 776 of the family's 1533-position model. The record is from RNAcentral.